Molecule: long non-coding RNA, 721 nt
Organism: Rhopalosiphum padi (bird cherry-oat aphid)
Lineage: Eukaryota; Metazoa; Arthropoda; Insecta; Hemiptera; Aphididae
Exons: 3
Source: RefSeq, a predicted model, not a curated record
GCGCGUACGUCUUAUCUAGCGAGCAUAUGGCACAGUUCCAGUGACUCGUCAGAGUUCCGCGUUACGGGUGUAUCGCUCUCGUUUGAGCUGCCCGUCUUGUGUGCCGCUGUAAUGAUUUGACAACGCGUGCGAUUCGAUUCUGAUCCGAUUAUUCGGUGGCUGCGACGUCGUUGAAUGACAUACGAAUCUGUUCGAAACAUUGUACUCAUUACGAAAACCGUUCCGUUGCAAAUAAAUAGAAGGGGUAUGCAAAAAAAAAAAUUACAAAAAGGCAGACUCCUUCCCCUCACGUCCACCCACAAUUCAAGCACUGGUAUACGAUGUCAUUUAUCUGCUAGCUGCACACGUAACUUCGGCACGUGUCCCACGUAAUAUAGUUAUACUGCCAGUAAUCACGCCUAUCUACAGGGCCUGUUUGGCCAAUGACGGCCCAAAAUAUUAAUAUGGCCCUAUUCAGAGCAACACUAAUGACGCCCGUACUAAUGACGGCCAGCGUCGUGGCCGAAAAUUGAAAACAGGUGGAAACAGAGUCCUUAUGGAAAUCUUGGGGCGGCUCCCUAUUCGGCCAAAAUAUACCCUUCCCUUUUCGGCCAGUGUCACUUUUCGGCCAAAACUUACUGUUUACUUUUCGGCCAGCACAGUUUUAACAACUUAUGAGUUAUGAUUAUAUCCAAAAAUGUGAUUUUUUUUUUAAAUUAUUACCUACCUAAUACUUUAUGAA